Molecule: long non-coding RNA, 480 nt
Organism: Aethina tumida (small hive beetle)
Lineage: Eukaryota; Metazoa; Arthropoda; Insecta; Coleoptera; Nitidulidae
Exons: 4
Source: RefSeq, a predicted model, not a curated record
UCCAAUGCAAUUUUACUUCAUGACAUUUUUAUAUGUCGCAACAUUCGUAGUCCAAGUGAACAUACAACAAGCGUGUGUUUUAAAAUUAAUAAUUUUACUGUUGAUUUUAAUUACUUUGUGUGUGUGACAGGUGCAACAAUCUUCAGGAAGCCAUUUCUUCACGUAUGAGCGAAGCUGUAUAACAAAUGAAGGAAACAAAAACUCGCAACACGGAAACAAUAUAUGACACAGUUUUAGAAGCUUUACCAUGCUUCGGAAAAUGGCUAGAGCAACCGCUCCGCACUGUGGCGGAGGUGUUGUGCUCGUGCAGUUCAAAUGCCUGGAGCUUCAAUUAAAGUGCCUGUAGUCGAACUUUAAACUAUUAUGGCUGAGGAGACCCAAUGAGAACGUUUAAUAAGCGAAAUUUAAAUUGUUUUGGCUUCCAUUCCAUUUUUUUUUAUUAGUGAAGGAACUAAAUUAAUAUAACACGUACAAAUGAAG